This 256-nucleotide ribosomal RNA is filed under the name uncultured bacterium. RNAcentral describes it as "partial 16S ribosomal RNA". It matches the Rfam family "Bacterial small subunit ribosomal RNA", at positions 524 to 776 of the family's 1533-position model. The record is from RNAcentral.
UACGUAGGGCGCAAGCGUUGUCCGGAAUUAUUGGGCGUAAAGAGCUCGUAGGCGGCUUGUCACGUCGGGUGUGAAAGCCCGGGGCUUAACCCCCGGGUCUGCAUUCGAUACGGGCAGGCUAGAGUGUGGUAGGGGGAGAUCGGAAUUCCUGGUGUAGCGGUGAAAUGCGCAGAUAUCAGGAGGAACACCGGUGGCGAAGGCGGUUCUCUGGGCAUGUCCUGACGCUGAGGAGCGAAAGUGUGGGGGAGCGAACAGG